CACCUGGGGCGGGCAGCCGGACCCGCCGGGCCUCCUGCGCAGUGCGAGGCGCGUCUUCGAUUCGACGGAGCGCUCCUGCGGGCGCGGGGGAGAGGGGUUGGCAGGGAGAGCCUCCGCUGUGAGGUUUUGGGGGUUGUGUGAUCCCGGAGGAGGGGCAACCGGGGACGGCCGCGAAGGUGGCAGGAUGGGGAGAGAAGGCUCCUGGGGAAACCUCAGGCCUGGCCAGGUGAGGCGAGGGGUUGAGGGACACCGGCGAGGGAAGGACAGACGGACCGGAGUGUAUUUGCCGGAUUCCUGGGUCAUCGCAGAGAAGGUAGGUCUGCGGCCAACUUUGGAGUAGAAGUCCCCGAUCGUGGGGGUGCGGCGAGGCCACUGCGGGUGGAGUGAGGGGACGGGUUUGGGAGGGGUGGAUUUGUGGUUUUCAGUCGGUUGCGGGAGCCUGGUGUGUUGUGACUACCUGGAUGAGAACCCUUGUGUCCAAGUUUUCGGCUUGUGGGUGUUCACUCCCACAGGCACAUCAGUCCCAUUACAGAAAACGGUGGUUGUAAACCUUUUCCUGGCCGGUUUCCUUUCCUUGCCUGUGUUCACACCUCUAUUCUUCAGAGAUGUCUCUACAGCAGGUAGCUUCUGAGAUGCUUUGGGGCCUGGCACGGACCAGUCCUUCCACCUCCACGGGGACUCGCUGCACCUGCUGCUUCCCCGCUGAGGUCUGGGUUCUGGCGCUGUUGGAGGCAGGGGGUCCAGGUGUGGAGGACUGGCGCCGGGCGCUUCACCUAGGCCUUGGGGAGGGAGGUUUGCUGGCAGGGCUGGACCGUAAUGGCUUCUACCUAUAAGUGAACCUGAAGAGAGGCUCUCUACUGUUCGUUUUCAGCCUCUUGGGGCACUGGACACGUGGUAGGGAGAGAGGUGUGGAAAGGCCUAUGAUGUAAUGACUUCCUGCAGUUGGGCAUCCAGAGAGAUUAACUCCCGUGCCCCUGCUGGGCCGCUGAUACCAGCGGCUCUGCUCUUCCACCUCAUCCUCCUGGCCCCAUCUCCCGAGAUAAGAAUGCAUACCAGGCUCAAGGGAGCCCUGUGCAGCUGUAGAUAUCUAUCUUUCUGUCAGUUGCUUCUAGUAACAAGUUGGACUUUUUUUUUUUUUUUUAAUUAAAAAGGUGGUUGCUUCCUCCUUCUGUCCCUUCCUUUGUCGUCUUUGGGGAGCCCUGUACUUUCUAGGUUCCAGUGGGUGUAUAAAAAAUAAGAACAGUUUGACCUUAGAUGGAGAACUGAAGCACUGGAGAGGAGCUAGUACAUGAAAAAGCUAAAGAAUUUAGUGUCAUUGACUUUUAAUUUGGUUUAAAAAAAAUCUUGAAAUAUGCCUUAAACAUUUUUUAUGGCUAGUAUAGGGAAGGGGUUGGAUACUUUAAAAGCAAAACAAGUGCUUUGAUAUUGUUCCACAAAUCUAUCUCGUGCUUGAACAAACGCUGAUAUUAUGAAUCUUAGGUUCGAUUCAGUUGUAUUGCUUUGCAAAGGAAUGCCAGUUAUGUGAUAAUAGACUAUUUAUGAAAAGGAUGAGAAUUCUGUUUCAAAGCAGUGCUGAUGUGAUACUUUUAAAAAUUGAGUUUUCAAGUGGAUAGCAGGGGUCAGUCUCUAUAGUGUUAGGAAGGGAUGAAUUUGUGGGAUCUGAGAAGAUGGAUUGGGUGAGGUGUGGAGUCUUUUCCAAAUUUCUCACACUUGAAAUUUAGUCCUACAUAUUUUGGAUUUGGUGCAGAGAAUCUGUUAGUUAAAAGUUAGCUUUAAGUUAGUCAGAAAGUUAACAUAGCAAGGGUUUUCACCUUUUUUAUGAUUUUUAAGAUUAUGACAGUAAUUUUAACACCACAAAUAAUAUUUCUUGCAUCGUGUUUGUGGUUAAAGAUAAUACCAGUUUAUGGUAUUUGAAACUUUUUUUUUUUUAAGAUUUAUGUGGGUAAGUGUGGCCACCAAAAAUAGCCAUGAAUUGAUACUGAAUUAAUUAUAUUUUCAUAUAGCUUACAGGAUCUGCAAUAGAGAUUUGGGGCCUAGUCUUAAACUUUGUGGUUUUAUAUCUUAACUAUUUUUGGUCUCAUGGUUUGUUUUUUCCUUCUCUGCUAUCUCAUUUUUCUUUAAAAUCUUAUGAAGCAUUGUAAAUUGAAACUGCCCAGCAGUAAUAUGUUUAAUACAGGGUGCAUAUUUUAUGAAUAUUUUAUCUUUAAAAUUUUACACCAGGUCCAUUUCUGAUUAUCACAUGAUAACUAAUCCUUGAAGACUAUAGAGAUAUAAUUGAGUUAAGAGUUUUUGCAAGAUGACCUUUACUAAAAGAUGCAGCCAUGCAGGGACUUCCAAAUCUUUGAUGAUGGAGAAGGCCCUUUGAAACUGGGGCUGCUGGUUUCACAUUCCGAUUAUGACUAAUAGCCAAGCUUUUUUGGUGCUUGUGGUUUAGUGGAGGUGGAAGUAGAGGGAAAAGGGAGAGGUCAGGAGCUAAGCGUGACCUAUUUCUAUGCAUCCAAGUUUCAGGAGUUGAGUCCUAUCAUGAUUAGUCAUUUGGAAGCAGGUGUGUGCUUUUAAACCACACUACUUUCAUUCUGAGUUUUACAUUCAGGUUUUUAACUUCUAAAAAUGUCUAGAAUUCAGGUUAACCUCUCCUGGUCAUGUGUGCACACAGGCAUAGUGUGCAGUGUCUAGGCCUUACUUCUUUUGUAGCUUUUUGGGCCUUUGUAUUAUGAGAUCUUGUAACCAGAAUUAUCACCCUAAGAGCAUAGAGCAAAUUAGAAAAGAGGCCUUAGCGAUCAGAAUCGAGACCAGUGAAUCAAAGCCCUGGUUGCAUGUAAGAAUUAUCUGGGAGCUUUUAAAAAAUAACAGUACCCAAUGAACAUGAUUUAAUUGGGCCGAUGUGUGGGUAUUGGUUGGUGAGGUUGUUUUUAUUUUUGAAGUUUCUUAGGUGAUUCUAAUGUACAGCCAGGAUGAGGUUUGCUGAUCUAGUUCAGUCCCCUUAUUUUAUAGGUGAAGAUCUUGAUUCUUCAGGUUAAUGACUUUACUAAGAUCACACAGCUGGUUAGUACAGAGAUAAUUAGCAGCCUGUGGGUCUAGAGAUCUUUAUCACACUAUUUUUUUCUUUUUAAAUUGAUCCUUUCUAAAGGUUAUGUACUAAGCACUGGGUAGUCUUAGAUAAGUAGAAGUUGUUUUCCUGAAAAGCAUAUUUGUUUCUCCAUCUAAAAAUUCUUGGUUAUUAUUUCAGCAUUGGGAAGAUGAAUGAUUAUUGGUAGAGGCUGAGUGAAUACACAGUGUCUGUAUAGCUGUCUGGUGCCUAUCAGGAAGGGUACUUAGGAACUGUGAAGUGAGGAAGGUGGCAAAAAAGGAGCAUUUUAACAAAAGGAGGAAGCUCUUGGUUAACUUGAAUUUGUCAGAUGCAAACCGUGCCAGGGAGAAAGGUGAUAGCUAUCUCCCAGGUUCCCUUACCUCGGGCAUUAAAGUAGAAAUGAAUAAUCAGAUGUGGUUAAAGGGGGAAAAGGUUACAUUUCCUUUAACUCAGAUUAAGCUUACUUGCAGUGCACCCUAAUUGAGCUGGUGAGGUCUCUGUUUCCUCCUGUCUCAGGCAGACCUCUAGAACUCCAGGGUUUACCUGGUGAGGCCCAUUUUUCACUGAUUCUCCUGCACACACCCACUCAUCUGUGCUUCCCAUGGGUCAGGGCACAAUAACGUUAGGCGGCUAUGAGUUUUUGUGGUGGUUCCUACAACUUCACAAAUGUGAGAGGACUUCUGCUGCUGCAAGUGACCGAGUCUUCCUUUGUGUGAGAAUGUGUCCUCUUGCCGAUUCUUCCCAAGGAUGAAAGAUGAUAGCUGGCCCGCCACGUGGUACUUGCUCCCGUCCUUACAGUUCUAGCUCUUCAGAUGAAUGCACCCAGUUCCUGUUCACAUACUGUAGUUUUUAAAGAUGUUAUUUUAACUGCAACUUUGAUGUUUAAAAAUAUUUUUUUCAACAAUUUCAAAACAACAGAGGCAUAAUAAUUUCACAUUGGCCUCUGAUUUUGACCCCAGUCACCUUUUGGACUAACUCAUUAAAGGGCCCGUUAGGGUUGUGCUGUACGAGGAAUCUGUCUUCACCUUGGCCCCUGUUGCUGAAAUACUGUUUUGUAAUUUCCUUCGGCAGUACUGUCUUCGUCAGUGAUUCUCAACUAACAUACUUCCUCUUUCUACAGUGGCAGUACGCUAGGGGGACUGUUUUUCUUCUUUUUCAAAGCUGUGUCAUCGACGUAAGAGGUGAAGAAAUUGGCCAUUUCAGACUUUGAUCUGUGAGCCCCAUGUAGCAGAGAGGCUCUUAUAAAAAGGAGUUAAGUGUUUUGAUAUGUUUAUCUCCUUCUUUGAAAAUGAAAUGAAACUAUGCAGACUGAUUUUUAGUUUUUAGGAGGGUUCUAUUUUAAGGGAAUGAUACCAUAGAAGAACAUCUGUAGUUAAACUUUUUAAUACUCUACUUAUGAUGCUUACUUAAAAGCAGCACGAUAUUUUUAUUUGGGAAAUUUGUGAAGAAGCUUUGUCCCGCUAAAAAAAAUCAUUUACCUGAUUUGCAAAAAUUUAGCAGACACUGUUCAUCUAAAGAGCUUUAUAAAAAUGCAAGGAUAAGACUGUUUAAGCCGGUGCCUUCUGAGGAGAUACCCAGCUUACCCCUUGCUGAUCAGUUUCUGGAUGACCUGGGCUGGAGAGAACGGAAUUUAUUUCGUUUUCAUGCUCUUUUGCCUUGUCUGUGAGGAACAGGCUCAAUCCUAUUUCUGACCCUCGUUUUUCUCCUCACCUUUUCCUGUAUCACAAAUGGUGGAGGAGUCCUGAGGGCCACUUGGACUUUUUGCUGCUAUAAAAAGAGCUGGGGAUGACAUAUAUGCAGGUGGGUUGUAUCAGUGGAUGAUGCAGCUGGUGCAGAGUGAGUGAGUAAAAGACCGAAAAGAGAAAACCCUUUUUACUCACUUGCAUCUCAUGCCAUUUCAUUCAUUCAGCAAAUAUUUAUCAAAGGCAUACAGUGUGCAGGGUGUUCUGCCGGGCCCAGGGAUGUAGUGGUAACUCAAGGCAGAUAAGGUUCCAGUUCACAGGAGUUUGUGUUCUCUUGGGGGAAGACAGAAAAUAAACAUGCAAAUCUGUGCCCUGUAAACUUGUCAUCAUUGCCCGUUCUCUUUGCCUUUUUGCCAUCUGUAUUUCUGCUUUCCUUAGUGCUUUGGCUCUCUGCAGAGAAGUCACCAGCAAAUAGCAAAGUGGAUGUUGGGCCCUGGCUUGGAGCUGGCCUUUAGCUCUCUGCAGAUCAUAAUUUUCAACUUGCUUUGGAGAUGCAGGGCCACUGUCACAUGGCUCCUGUAGUUGGGAUCUUUUGGAGAGAAGCUGGGAUUAGAGCACACUGGUGGCCCUGGACUCAUCUUGGGCCCCCAGUUCUGUCUUGUGGGGCCACGAUAUAGGACCAGCCUCUGGAGUGGAUGUGGAGCCUUGAUGCAGUCAAAUUGUCUGCAUGACUUCUUGUCUCAAAUUAAAAACUAAAUGAAGUCUUAGGGAUUAUCUAAAUACUUCAUUUUGCAAGUAAGGAAACAGGCAGGAGCAUGUGAGUGGCUAGCUCAGGGACCCACAGCUAGCAGGGGUGGAGUUAAAUGUGUCCGUGUGAGCCCAGGGCACCAGUGUUCUGUAAUGUCUGUUGCUAACCAUUGUGGUUUCACAGCUGGUCGAGUCAGUGCCUCCAUUUCUGCAAAGUCUUACUUCAUUUUCUCUCCUCUGCUCCCCUCCCCCAUCCUCUAGAUUGGCUGGCCAGCAGGAGAGUAGCUGUGUUUCUCUUUUUGCAUUCUCUAUCAGCACUCUCAGCUCACCUUGCUGGAAAAGCCUAUUCUCUGAACCUCGCCCUACCCUGCUCACCUCCUGACUUCUGUCUGUUCCUUUUGUCAUUUUUCUGUGACUCCUAUAUAUUCUCAAGAACAGUGUAAAAACCUUGAAAGCAAGGAAGGUACCUACCAGACAAAAAGCAUUUCUGAUAACUUGGAGCUGCUUUGGGGCUGAUUAUGUCCUCAGCCCAUGAGCUUAGCCUUGUUCUGGGACAGUGAUACUGAAAGGGGAUGAUGUGACUCAGGAGUGGAGUGAUGGCAUGUGUAGAAUCUUUUGGAUACUUAUAGCUACAAAGGUGGCCCAGACCUCCUAGUGUUGGUAUUGAUACGAUGUCAUGUAAUUAUGAAAUGGUGCUGUAGUAUCUAAGGCAUUUCUUACAGUGUCUUGUUUCCUAGUGUCGAAGUCCCUACAAACUUCAUCAGUGCCAGGUGUUACCCAUCACAGAAAUGGAGAGAAACCUGAUCUUGGGAUUACCUUUCCUGAAGAGAAAGUUGAAGUCAUGUUUUCCUUUUGUGUGUGGACCCUGCUUUAUGCAGCAUCAGUAUUACUGUCUAGAAAGAAUCACCAAAUAUACAUAUCCACUUCAGAAGCAGAGCUCUGGUGUAAAACUAAGUUGUCCAUAAUGUUCUGCAUUUGCAGGUGUAAGUCUCAGAUGCACUUGAAGUUUUACAUAAUGGAUUGGUAAAUAACAAGUCACAGAUGAAGAAAGAAGAGAUAGUGAGCAGUCUGAGCUGGACCUGUCCAGGGCCAGUCUGCCUGUCUUCUGAGAUGGUUUUCUGAAUAGGUGUUUUGGCUACUGAUUAUCAUGGAAAACCCCAAUUCUGAUCAAAUCAGUGUCCAGACAGGUUCAGCAUCUGUCACCAUUUUAUUUUGACCGAACGACUUCCAUUUCUCAGUAUUACAGUUUCCCCAGUUGGAAAAAGAAGUAAAAUAGCAAGCAUCUGUAGAAUAUUGUGAUGUAUCACUCCUUUCUGGUGAAAUAAAAAUGUAUGGAGUAUGCUUCAAGCUGGGCUUUUCUCCCCCCGCAGAAUGUGUAUUUUCACUUGGACCUUUUUGGGAGAUUUUAAUCCUGAGACUUUUUCUCUGCAGUGUGUCAGUCCUUACUAUGAAAUUACGGUACAGAGUCAAGUAGAUGAAGUUUUCUGGUGGCCUGUGGUACUUGCACUCAUUUGGUCCUCUCAUAAUUGUGUGUGGUGAAGAAGCCAGCUUAUCUUCUGGGAGCUCACCAUGCCUGGGUAUCCAAAUGCACCCCCAUUCUGCAAUGGAGAGAAUUUUGUUGGUUUCUGCCAAGCAUCAGCAUGAAUCAGCUGUGGUCCUUCACUCUUGAAAACAUGUGAAUGUUCAUCUGUACCUGAGAGCAAGCAAGUGUGUCAAGAUCAGUGGGUUCUGUGUUUUUGUGCCCUUUUGAUUGGAGACUCUUGAUAUUUUCCAAGACGUCGCUUUCCUGUCCAGUGACUGGUGUCCUUAUGAGGAGAGGAGAGGACAUGGUAGAUGCAGAGAAGGCUACGUGAACGCCACGGCAGAAGUUGGAGCAAUGCAGUUACAAGCCAAAGAGCACCAGAUUGCUGGGGGACCCCGGAAGCUGGGCAGAUGCCAGGCAGGACCCUCCACUGGAGCCUUCAGAGGGAGCAUGGUGCUGCCCACACCUUGAUUCUGGACUUCUAGCCUCCAGCACUGAGAGAGAAUAAGUUUUUAUUGUUUGAAGCCCCUAAGUUUGUAGUAAUUUGUCAUGAUAGCCUUAGGAAACACACAGGAGCACAGGGAUGGAAGAGAGGAACAUGAAGGGUUGCAGAUAGAGGAGAAGAGGAAGAGAAGGUUUUAUUUUAUUUUUAAAAUUGAGAUAUAAUUGACAUAACAUUAUUAGUGUCAAGUGUACAACAUAAUGAUUUGGUAUUUAUACAUGUUACAAAAUGAUCAUCACUCUAAGUCUAGUUUAAACAUUCUUCUUUUUUUUUCUUGUAUUGAGAACUUUUUAAGAUUUACUCUCUGAGCAACUUUCAGAUACCUUGGUAUUAACUGUAUUCACCAAGCUGUAUAUUGCAUCCCCAGGACUGACUUAUUUUGUAAUUGGAAGUUUGUCUCUUUUGACCCACUUCACCCAUUUUGCCCUCUCCCUCCGAAGUUUUAUUUAGAUUAAAAUUAAAAUGUUAAUCACUCCUGGGCUACUUUCUGGUAACUUAAAUUUCUUCGUUCUUCAUCCUGCUAUGAGGCACGGAAGGGAGGUGUGAAUUCCCCUGAUUUCCCAGUGAGAGCUGCUACAGAGGUCCUCGCGCCCUCUGUUGAGCGUGCAUCCUGGACGCCCUCCCUAACCCUCCCAUUCUGCUUACCCAGUUUCUACUUCUUGGCCUAUUUCGUGAAGCCGGUGGAAUGGCUGUACUUGGGGAGUGUGGACUUGAGGUUUAAGGCCAAGGUCUAGCUGAGGGCUUUGGUCUAGGAUAGUCAGUCUUUCAGGGAGGGAGCAGCCUGGGUCCUCAGUGGAAGGAGAGGGUUGAAGAAUUCUCUCUUCCCAAUCCCAGGCUUGAGAAGAUAGAGCCCCAUCAGGUUCACUGCCGUCCAUGGCGGCAGUGAGGAUAAUCCGAAUCUCUCUGGAGUCUCCUUGGCUCCUCCUGUGCUUCGUUCAAGCCCUUUCAAAGUGUCAGCCAACACUCUGGAGCCUUCAGGCUCCCAUCCCUGCUGUAUACAUUUAUGUCCGCAAAACCCAGCCAUCCUGAAGGAGCAUAGAGUGGUAGUCCUCGUCAAAGUAGCAGCAGGUGUUUUCUAGGUACCGUGAAGGUGUUUGGAUUGAAUUGUUCAGAAGUAUUUCAGAAUUAGAAUUGCAUGUGUUUAUGCUCAUAUUUUGAAAUAGUAUUUUGGGAAAAGGGAGCCAGGAUUAUAAAUCAAUUGGAAACACAGUUUGGUUUUUACAAUAAAAAGAGGAGUUGACACAAGAUAUUCUGAAGUCUAGUUAUAAUAAUAAUAAUAGUAGCUAUGAUUUAUUGAAUACUAUCAUAUGCCAAUUAUGUAGAUUUUUUUACAUCUAAUAUUGAUCCUACAUGUUAAGCAUUUUAAGUAUAAACCCAAUUUAGAGACAAGAAAAUGGUUCAGAGAAGUUUAAUUGCUUGGGAUUCAGAGGAAGGCUUCUUUGAACGUCAGCCUUUUCUGCUAUGCUUUGCUGCCUCCUGAGUGUGGUGGGACUUUGCGUUGGGGUGAGUACAACAAUAAAAUUAAAUAGCUGCCAUUGAAAAAGUUGCUACUAUAUGCUGCAUUCUUUGUGUAUAUUACCAUCAAUCCUUGAUGUUAAUCUUUCAGAAUGAUGUCUUGAAUGUUUAUCUUCUGAACUGUGGCUGACUCUGGGUAACUGAUACCUCUCUGUGUUGAGGGGGGAGUAGACAUAGACCCAUGAUUUAGGCUCCUGCCCAUGAUUUUGCCUGAGCAAAUAAUUUUAAGAAUCCAAUCAGUGCCUGGGCUCUUAGUGGAGCAGUUUAAUUUGGGGAUUUCUAUUUCUGUUUGGGUGCUGCCUUAGUAAACCACUGUUUAACCAUGGUUUACUAUGGGUCAGAUAGUGUACUAGUGUUCAGAACUAAUAGGGUGAUACCAUAGUGUGUGGAAAAUCCUUAGGGCUAGGCUAUUAUCUCUGAGAAAUUUCCGCCUUGGGAGAACAGGGUAUAUCUGUGCUUCUAUGGGCUUCAGGUAGGUAAAUGGAUGGAGAUAAUACCACCAGGAGAAAUGGAAUUCAGGGAGAAAAAAGACAUUUAUAAAAGGUUUCUGGCAGAAGUGUGGUCGAAGCCCAAUCAGAUCUCAAAAUUAAAGGUAUUAAAGCAUAUUUUGUGAGGUGGUUGACCCUUUCCAGUGCAGUUACUAACAGGUUUAAAGGCAAGAUAGACACAGAAAAUGUUGCAAAAUGCAAGCUGCUGGCCAGGUUAAAGGGUUUAUCUUAUUAAGGCAUUUACUGCUUUUGUCUUCAAGGUAGAAUAUGUAUGAGUAGGACCUAAAAUGAUGGUUUUAAUUGGCCACAGGAAUACAGCACCCAUGUGCCCUGAGAUAAAAUGUGGCUUGCAGAACACUAAUCCCAUGUGUGUGUUGGAAAAAAUUUUAGAACUCUCAGUUUCACAGUAAAGAUAGGUGAGUAGUGUCUGGAAAGUGUCCAGAAGAUAGACUGAAACCCUGUGAUAAAUGUGGAGCAGGCAGAAUGGCUCUGCCUGAUAACUGAGUGAGGCCAGGGUAUGGGGUGUGGUGGGGCCAAAGGCAGUUACAAAGAAGGUGGCCUUGGCCUCUGUGGACUUUUAAAAGUACAACUCUGGGUAUAAACCUGAAGUUGAAGGAGGGCAUAGAAUUACAUCCAAUACAGCUUGUUAGAUGUCUCCUUGAAAAUUAGUAUUACAUUAAAAAGAUCAAAUGGAGAGUUAAGCCAUUAAUUCACACAAUUCAAAUCUCAGAACUGCUCCCCCAGCCAAAGUGUUGUAAUAAUUAAUUUCUAAAAAAAUGAUAGUUCUUUCAUCAUAAAUUAUCUAAAUAAUUGCCUCAGUUCCAUAUUUCACAUUAAGUUUGGCAGAAUGAUGUUUAAAGCUUCCUCUCCUUUCUCUUUUUAGUUUUCACUUCUAUUUUACUUGAUUUUUUUUUAAUGCAGUUUUACUUCUAAUGCUGUAAUGGUUUCAUAAAGUAAAAACACUCUCUUGACAUCUCUCCAUUAGAACUUCUUGUUGGUAAAUUCCUUUAAAAUUCUUCCUAAUUUAAAAGUCAGUUUUUGCUGUUCAUAUCUUCUAGAAUUUUUGCUGUGUAUGAUAGCUGGUCUGGACUAGCUAUUCAUUUCCAAUCAAGGACUUGUUAAUUUCACCCAUCAUACGUUUGUAUCUUGGUCUGUAUUUGAGUACAUUGGGUUUUUUUUUUUCUCCUUUUUUCCCCAGCUGGUAGAAUGAAAAGGAACAUGCCUUUAUUCACUAGUUAUUUGUCAGAACAGUCCAAUUAGCAGCAUUAAUUUGCCAUUUAUGAGUAUACCUAUGAUUAUAAAUAAACAGUGACCCACAGACUACAUUUUAAGCAAGGCAACUUUCUUUUUUUAAGUAAAAAUUGACACUGAGCCCCAGACAUUCCUGUGAAUUUUUUUUUAAGAACAAUGAUCAGUUAUUUUGGGGGGCAUCGUUUGUGUAAUCCUGAGAAACCGGAAUGGGCCUUAGAAAUGUUAUGGGCCCGACUCUUUCAAAGUUGUCUUCCUGAUGACACAGGUGUGAAUGUGCUUGCUUCAGCAGAGUUGAGCUCUUAAGCUCCUGAUAGGCAGCUUCCUAGGUGAGCUGGUAUACUGUUUCUUGAAAUUAGUGGCCUCAAUCAGGCCUUCUGUCUCCAGCCCUGUCCAGUACAGAUAAGCUUACUGCCUCCUCUUUGAAUAGAUGUAUGCCCUGUGCUCAACGGAAUUUUCUAAAUCAGUCCUGUUUAGUCUCCUUCCUUUACAUGAAAGAUCCUUUUUUUCCAGGCUGGAAGUCUAGGUGAUCUGGGCCACAUGUUAGGCUUCACCACAGUCAACCUUCAUGUCAAUCGCGAAGGUGAAAUUUGGCAUCCGAUUAUACUGCUCGGCUUACUGGGUCUUAGUUCCCUUAUCAGAGAUUGAACCCCGGGCCCUCAGCAGUGAAAGCAUGGAGUCCUGACUACUGGACCAUAGGGGAAAUUCCCUGGCAUCUGACUGUAGGCAUCUUUUAGUAGGUGUUCUUUGGGAGGAGGUGAGAGGUUUAUUCUGAUGAUCUCAUAAUAUCGGGGAAUGCUUCAAGUUAACUUGUGGGUAGUCAGUGCUGAAUUAAGUAAAGCACCAUGUGUCAAAUUAGGAGAGCUGACUUGUGGUGGGAUGGGCUCCCUGGUGCUCAGCUGCAAAGAACCCACCUGCCAAUGCAGGAGACACAGGUUCAACCCCUGGGUCGGGAAGAUCCCCUGGAGAAGGAAAUGGCAACCCAGUCAGGUAUUCUUGCCUGGGAAAUCCCAUGGACAGAGUAGCCUGGCAGUCUGCAGUUCAUGGGGUCAUCAAGAGUUGGACACAGCUGAGUGACUGAACAACAACUUGAGGUAGUGAAAACUACCAUCCUCCAAAUUGAUUUUUAACAUAAUGACUUCACAAAUGAAUGUUUUUAUCAAAAAUUACCAUGCUCGUUUUUAAGAUGCAUAUUUUCCCACUUCUUGGUUUUCUAAUCACAUCAGGGCUUUAAACUGAUGGAUAAGUUUUGACUGUUAACACAGUGGGAUAACAUCUGGGGUUUUCUCUCUGGGCUCCCUGUGUUUGUCCUGCUGUGAGCACAGAUAAUUUUCACCUGACUUCUGUCUGUGUUACCUGAGCUGAGGUUCCUGCUGUGUCCACUGACCAGCAACACUGUGUUCUUCUCACCGCUUUGUUUUGUGUUCAUCAUUGAAUCUUAAACGGGAUCAUAAAGCUUUCUCAUAUGUCUUUUCUAGCUGUUACCUCAUGCUUCUGUGCUUAGUCAAGAAGGAAGAGAAGAAAAUAACUCUAUCUUGGUUUUAUCAUCUGCAUCACAUGAUUUUACAACUUUGAAAACUCACUUGUCAGUGUGGUUGCU
This is a long non-coding RNA of Dama dama (fallow deer), 12374 nucleotides long. RefSeq lists it as uncharacterized. The record is from RefSeq and is a predicted model, not a curated record. The transcript has 3 exons. Lineage: Eukaryota; Metazoa; Chordata; Mammalia; Artiodactyla; Cervidae.